Molecule: long non-coding RNA, 320 nt
Filed under: Hordeum vulgare
Lineage: Eukaryota; Viridiplantae; Streptophyta; Magnoliopsida; Poales; Poaceae
Description: long non-coding RNA (HVUL_LNC004747)
Source: RNAcentral
CGCAAGUGAAUUUUGAUUUAAGGUUAAGAGGAAUGAAGCCCCACCCCCUUAAAAAUCAGAAGGGUGAAGGUUAGUUAGGUAAAAAGUUGCUUCAACGCAUGCGUUUCCCUCUCGCUCGAAUGGGAUAACGAGUUGGUAAGCAAACCAGUAUUCACCAAAUAAAGUUCUGCUAAAAUAUAGGCAUGUGAAUCACGGGCUAACCUAUUAGAAUAUUUAUGUCCAAGUUGAAGCGCACGGGCAAUUAUUAGUUUAUAUGUACAUAAACAACCGGGAAUGUGAGAGAUAGGAUGGUUCAGUGCAGCACUACAAAAUGUCANNNN